Molecule: long non-coding RNA, 208 nt
Filed under: Homo sapiens (human)
Lineage: Eukaryota; Metazoa; Chordata; Mammalia; Primates; Hominidae
Description: HSALNT0407215
Source: RNAcentral
ACUGUCCUAUCUCCAUCAAAGAAACCCAGAGGUGAAGAUCAAGGUCCUUCAUGCAAAUUAAGUAGCUUGAGUCACCUAAAGCUCACUGUGAUGAUUUCUGACUGGUAAAGCAGGAAAUCAAUGGUAACCUCCCUCUUGGAGAGUCCCUAGGUGUUUCACUUAUUCUUCCUCUGGUUUUUCCUGUUUUUUGUUGAUUUACACAGAAUUU